GGGGCAUGAUACAAUGUCAUCCACUGACAUUCUACCAAGAUCUUUUAGUUUUUUUAUUUGACCAUACUUUAGUCUAAUAGUGUUCAAAUGGUUAAGCACAUCUCAAUCACACCAAUCCUAAGAAAGGCUUUAUUAGUUGCCUUUACUGCCACAGCGAUCGCAGGAUUCUUAAAACCCAUAUCGACAUUGAGACCUAGUUUAACUUGCUCAAUUAUGAACA
RNAcentral lists this long non-coding RNA (220 nucleotides) under Elaeis guineensis (African oil palm). Its description in RNAcentral is "long non-coding RNA (EGUI_LNC009759)". The record is from RNAcentral. Lineage: Eukaryota; Viridiplantae; Streptophyta; Magnoliopsida; Arecales; Arecaceae.